CGCGUCGCAUUAGCUAGUUGGUGAGGUAACGGCUCACCAAGGCAACGAUGCGUAGCCGACCUGAGAGGGUGAUCGGCCACACUGGGACUGAGACACGGCCCAGACUCCUACGGGAGGCAGCAGUAGGGAAUCUUCCGCAAUGGACGAAAGUCUGACGGAGCAACGCCGCGUGAGUGAUGAAGGCUUUCGGGUCGUAAAACUCUGUUGUUAGGGAAGAACAAGUGCUAGUUGAAUAAGCUGGCACCUUGACGGUACCUAACCAGAAAGCCACGGCUAACUACGUGCCAGCAGCCGCGGUAAUACGUAGGUGGCAAGCGUUAUCCGGAAUUAUUGGGCGUAAAGCGCGCGCAGGUGGUUUCUUAAGUCUGAUGUGAAAGCCCACGGCUCAACCGUGGAGGGUCAUUGGAAACUGGGAGACUUGAGUGCAGAAGAGGAAAGUGGAAUUCCAUGUGUAGCGGUGAAAUGCGUAGAGAUAUGGAGGAACACCAGUGGCGAAGGCGACUUCUG
This 507-nucleotide ribosomal RNA is filed under the name Heyndrickxia coagulans. Its description in RNAcentral is "bacterial SSU rRNA". It matches the Rfam family "Bacterial small subunit ribosomal RNA", at positions 232 to 731 of the family's 1533-position model. The record is from RNAcentral. Lineage: Bacteria; Bacillati; Bacillota; Bacilli; Caryophanales; Bacillaceae.